Molecule: ribosomal RNA, 253 nt
Filed under: uncultured bacterium
Lineage: Bacteria
Description: partial 16S ribosomal RNA
Rfam family: Bacterial small subunit ribosomal RNA
Source: RNAcentral
GACAGAGGGUGCAAACGUUGUUCGGAUUUACUGGGCGUAAAGCGCGUGUAGGCGGCUUUGCAAGUCGGAUGUGAAAGCCCACGGCUCAACCGUGGAAGUGCAUCCGAAACUGCAUGGCUUGAGUCUCGGAGAGGAAGGUGGAAUGCUUGGUGUAGAGGUGAAAUUCGUAGAUAUCGGGAGGAACACCAAUGGCGAAAGCAGGUAACUGGACUAUUACUGACACUCAACUGCGAAAGCUAGGGGAGCAAACAGG